AGUGAACGCUGGCGGUAGGCCUAACACAUGCCAGUCGAACGGCAGCACAGUAAGAGCUUGCUCUUACGGGUGGCGAGUGGCGGACGGGUGAGGAAUACAUCGGAAUCUACUUUUUCGUGGGGGAUAACGUAGGGAAACUUACGCUAAUACCGCAUACGACCUACGGGUGAAAGCAGGGGAUCUUCUGACCUUGCGCGAUUGAAUGAGCCGAUGUCGGAUUAGCUAGUUGGCGGGGUAAAGGCCCACCAAGGCGACGACCCGUAGCUGGUCUGAGAGGAUGAUGCGCCACACUCGAACUGAGACACGGUCCAGACUCCUACGGGAGGCAGCAGUGGGGAAUAUUGGACAAUGGGCGCAAGCCUGAUCCAGCCAUACCGCGUGGGUGAAGAAGGCCUUCGGGUUGUAAAGCCCUUUUGUUGGGAAAGAAAAGCAGCAGGUUAAUACCCCGCUGUUCUGACGGUACCCAAAGAAUAAGCACCGGCUAACUUCGUG
RNAcentral lists this ribosomal RNA (492 nucleotides) under uncultured bacterium. RNAcentral describes it as "partial 16S ribosomal RNA". It matches the Rfam family "Bacterial small subunit ribosomal RNA", at positions 29 to 507 of the family's 1533-position model. The record is from RNAcentral.